UCGAGCGAACUGAUUAGAAGCUUGCUUCCUAUGACGUUAGCGGCGGACGGGUGAGUAACACGUGGGCAACCUGCCUGUAAGACUGGGAUAACUCCGGGAAACCGGAGCUAAUACCGGAUAACAUUUUUUCUUGCAUAAGAGAAAAUUGAAAGAUGGUUUCGGCUAUCACUUACAGAUGGGCCCGCGGUGCAUUAGCUAGUUGGUGAGGUAACGGCUCACCAAGGCAACGAUGCAUAGCCGACCUGAGAGGGUGAUCGGCCACACUGGGACUGAGACACGGCCCAGACUCCUACGGGAGGCAGCAGUAGGGAAUCUUCCGCAAUGGACGAAAGUCUGACGGAGCAACGCCGCGUGAGUGAUGAAGGCUUUCGGGUCGUAAAACUCUGUUGUUAGGGAAGAACAAGUACAAGAGUAACUGCUUGUACCUUGACGGUACCUAACCAGAAAGCCACGGCUAACUACGUGCCAGCA
This 471-nucleotide ribosomal RNA is filed under the name Priestia flexa. RNAcentral describes it as "bacterial SSU rRNA". It matches the Rfam family "Bacterial small subunit ribosomal RNA", at positions 62 to 513 of the family's 1533-position model. Lineage: Bacteria; Bacillati; Bacillota; Bacilli; Caryophanales; Bacillaceae. The record is from RNAcentral.